This 230-nucleotide ribosomal RNA is filed under the name Bacillus mojavensis. Its description in RNAcentral is "partial 16S ribosomal RNA". It matches the Rfam family "Bacterial small subunit ribosomal RNA", at positions 557 to 787 of the family's 1533-position model. The record is from RNAcentral. Lineage: Bacteria; Bacillati; Bacillota; Bacilli; Caryophanales; Bacillaceae.
GGCGUAAGGGCUCGCAGGCGGUUCCUUAAGUCUGAUGUGAAAGCCCCCGGCUCAACCGGGGAGGGUCAUUGGAAACUGGGGAACUUGAGUGCAGAAGAGGAGAGUGGAAUUCCACGUGUAGCGGUGAAAUGCGUAGAGAUGUGGAGGAACACCAGUGGCGAAGGCGACUCUCUGGUCUGUAACUGACGCUGAGGAGCGAAAGCGUGGGGAGCGAACAGGAUUAGAUACCC